RNAcentral lists this ribosomal RNA (520 nucleotides) under uncultured archaeon. Its description in RNAcentral is "bacterial SSU rRNA". It matches the Rfam family "Archaeal small subunit ribosomal RNA", at positions 348 to 827 of the family's 1478-position model. The record is from RNAcentral.
CUUUGCAAUGCGCGAAAGCGUGACAGGGGAACUCCGAGUGGCAGAGGGCUAAUGCUUUCUGUCUUUUGGCUAAUCUAAAUCGUUAGCAGAAUAAGAUCUGGGUAAGACCAGUGCCAGCCGCCAUGCUAUGCUUUUUGCACCAGCAUCGGCACGGUACGCGGUAAUACUGGCAGAGCGAGUGGCACCCACGAAUAUUGGGUCUAAAGAGUCCGUAGCGGGUCUAUUAAGUCUACUGUGAAAUCCGGCUGCUCAACAGCCGGGCGUGCAGUAGAUACUGAUAGGCUUGGGAGUGGGGGAGGUCAGGAGUACUUGUGGGGUAGUGGUAAAAUACUGUAAUCCUACAAGGACUACCAGUGGCGAAGGCGCCUGACCAAAACACGUCCGACCGUGAGGGACGAAGGCUAGGAGAACGAAUCGGAUUAGAUACCCGAGUAGCCCUAGCUAGUAAAUAAUGCAGACUGUGGUGUUGCAAGGACUUCGUGUCCUUGCAGUGCUGUAGCGUAGGUGUUAAGUCUGCCAC